CCUGUUAUAAAAAUCUAAAAGCAUUAAUAAUUCUCUCACUGAAAUUUUACAUUUAAGCAUUUCUUUUCUUCAAAUGUCAAUCUUCUGUUGAUUCUGUUGAUCUUUCUCCACAGGAAGCUCUGUUUCCUCAUUCUGUAACUCAAGAUCACAUGAGUUUUGUAUUACAAGAGCAGAAACCAUGGAUGUGUUAACUAUCAUUAUCCUGAUGGUUCUUUUGAGAAAAUGUCAUGGGAACACUUAUCUACACUUCCAAGAAGAAGAAGAAGGAGAAAUAAAAAUACCAUUCCAGUGUGAACAGGGACUUUGGCAAAUUGACAUAAAAAACGACAACAUAGUGGAUUAUAACUGCAGUUUUACCAAGGAAAAUAUGUGGAAAGAAUGUGAACAUAAGGACUUUAAGUUGGUUAAAUACACAGAAGAACAUGGAUUUCUGUUGAAAACAAACAGCAGCGCAAUCUUGGAAUGUGUUCACAAUCUCACUUCAACAUUUAUAUUUCCCUUUAUUUUGUCAAGAGACCAGGUGGAUUCCUUUAUCGUGGCAUUAAUUAAACCAGAGAUGGUGAGUGGUGGGCCUGAUGUGGAAACAAAAAACAUUGUCACCAAGCGCCAAGAAGAAACAGUUGACCUUAUAUGUAAUUUCAAAUUAAAUGAUACAUUUUCUAAAGGUCACAUUUCUGUGUAUUGGAUUAAGAUCACAAAUGAAAGAAGUACAUGUAUUUAUUCUUUUUAUUUGGGCGAUUAUGGAGAACAAGAAUAUUACCGUCACUGUCCAGUUGAUGAAUCCCUGCAUAAAAGAAUGUCAAAUAUUUCAACUGCAAACAAAGAAAAUCACAGUCUUAAAAUCAACCAAGUGACACAUUCAGACAGUGGACAGUAUGUGUGUGCCUUAUAUGUACAGGAAAAUGAGAACAAAUGGUAUGGAAAAGUGAUCUCUAAUAUCACGGUCACUGUAAAAGACAACAGCACCUCCACAAACCAGUCACAUGAUAAGAAUAACCUCAUCAUACUGUAUGUAGUGGGAGCUCUAUUGCUCUUCUGCUUCUUUGCUACUGUCAUUGUCAUGAAGAAAAAGAUCAAGAAUUCCCAAGCAAAACAUAAAACCCUGGGGAUGAACAGAAACCAAGAUGGAGAGGAGACACUUGACUGUUCCCCAUAUGCUGUGGGAACAGGAGACCAGGGGCCCUACUCUCUUGUGAAACAUCCUGAAGUCAGAGAUCCUGUAACGGUCCAAAACAGGCCUGAUGAAUAUGCUCCUGCUGACUCCUAUGAUGUAAUCAUGUUUAAUCCUGAGUAUGAGGCCAUUGACUCCGGGAGACGUCAGACAUCAUCCACCUGACCACACCAGGACUGGAAAUAAAGCAUGGGUUACUAGAAAAACAUUAGAUUUAGUUACUAAUAUUAUGUACAUAAAGACACAUGAAGAUAAUGUGAUUUUCAUUAUUUUUCACCUUCAUGUUGUGUUUAUUCAUAUUGUGUUCAUACUUCAUAUUGACUGAAAUUCACACUAUAUAUUUUUAUCUGUUUUCUCUCUUUUAUUUUUUCAUCUGUUAAAGUGAAUUGAAAUACCUGUUGUAGGAAAUGUGCUAGAUAAAUAGUUUGAUUGGAUUUUGAGUAAGGUUGGGGUAGGAUCACCCGGAGUAUCUUUUGGAUUGGGGUGGUGGGAUAAUAUAUUGUUAAAAAAUUACAAAUUACAAUAAAAUAUUUUUCAUCACUUCAUAGAAAAAUACAAAAAGUGAAAUUGAAGAGAAAAAAGGAUCUACUUUAAGGGGCACUGUGUAAAAUCCUGCCCCUAAACAAUAACACGACUUGUCUCCUCGUCUUCCCUCAUCGAACGAGACCGGAACAGUAUACGUCUAAGGUGCUUUAGGUUUGGAAGAAUAGUACUACGAGUGUCUACAGUGAGUAUAACAAGAUAACAAGUCAAGACAAACUGACAGGCCGAGAAGGUUUAAAUGGGGAAUAAUCUCAGGCACUUGUUUCAAUUUUGUAGAAAACUAUUAUUUUAAACAUUAACUUGAAAUAUUAACUGCCGAUGACUACUCAUAAUUUUUGCCUGUAAUUAUGCUAGUAGUAAAUUAAAAGUCUUAUGUAUUGUCAUUUAAUGUAAUGUACUUAAUAAAACAGGACAAAGCAUGGUCACGAGAUGGUGCUAUUGGUCAGACGAAGAUUCAAUUAGGCAAAGAUCCUGACCAAGAUUCCAUGCUGAUCGAAUUGUUGUCUGCUGUGCGUUAAAGUGAAUAUUAUUUUAUUUUCCUAUUGCUCAGUCCCACAGCUAUGUUUACAUUCUGAUAUUGAAUAAAUAUUACUUGAAUAAAAGGCUAUAGUAAAAAUUUGACUGACAUUCCUCUUUACUUGCAUAGAAAUCAGUAUGUAGUUGCUGCUAUGAAUUAAGAACAGUAUCCUGUGAUGUACUUCUAUGCAGAUAUGUUUAGGUAUAAAGU
Molecule: long non-coding RNA, 2441 nt
Organism: Esox lucius (northern pike)
Lineage: Eukaryota; Metazoa; Chordata; Actinopteri; Esociformes; Esocidae
Source: Ensembl